AUGAAAACGGACUAAUAUAAGGGGCAACUCUGGGACCUGGGAAGAAACCAGAAGGGCGUUUAAUCACCAUCCCCUACCUCCUGCUUUGGAAGAUGUGAAAUUCAGAAGACUACAGGGCAGGAUUCAGCUGUCAUCCACUAUGACCCCGUCUGAGAGUUGACACCCAGUUCCGCCCCCAGCCUCACCUCUCUGCUUCUCACCUUUGAACACAGGCAAAAAAUGUUUGCUUUUCACCUGCCCUAGAACAGGCCUCUUCGUGCCCAUAUGGUUCUUCACGCUUAAGACAAAAAGAUUUAUUCUAUCUUUCCUUCCCCCUACCCUCACCCCGUCCAACACAUACAUACACACCCUUGGCAACAUGGAUUGACUGACUCUCUUUUCUGAGUUGCAGAGAGCAAAAAGUGACCUCCAUUCUUGGCCACAAGCACAACAGAGCUUUGUUAGUAGAGUGUCCCUACAGAGAGCAUCCAAGGUUGCAGCAGCCAUGGCCUCCUCUGAGGCCCCUGUUGUCCUCUGGGCACCUUCCUUUAAUAUUUGGUAACACUACAGCCAUGAUUCUGCAGGUUUCUCUCCUCAUGUGGCCAGAGGUCAGCCUCUUUUGUUUGGGGAAAUGUGUGGGCCUUCUCCACAGCCUGGCUGCCCACCAGGGACAUGCUUUUCAAUGGCCAAGUUGUAGUACCUGCAAAACUGGGAGCUGCUACUCAUCACCUAUGGAAUUUGCUGGGCCCCGGGGGUGUUAUCACCAGCCAGUGGAAAGUUGGAGAACCUGGAUGAACUGGGCUGAAGACAGCAGGAAGUCUGGGUCUAGCAGCUGGUACCUGUGGCCAUGGCAGAGAUGAGGGCAGCCAUACAAGAGGCAUCCAAGAAUCAACAUGUGGUGGUCCCACUUUGAGUGGGAAAAUCCAGAUGGCUGGGGGGUCCUGAGAGAGACUCCAUGGCAGCCCAGGACAGUGAAUGGGCACAGACUUCUCUUGAUUGGCCAUUACCCAUUCAAUGUGGGCAGAAGGCAGGGGUCCCUGCCCUGGUGAGCAUCCAGGAAGGAUUCAGGUAAUGGAGGAGGCACAUCUCUGGGUCUUGCUUCAGCGGCCCUGCUCACUGUUUCCCUCACAGAAACUUCUCCCCAAACCCCACCCACGCAGACACACUCGGCCUGCUCUUUGUCCUGCCUUUGGCUGAGAUACGACCCCAUUAGUGAUCUGAGGAAAGGGGUAAGCAAGAGUACAUCUACUUCUAAGCAAUUCCUGCUGCUCAGGAUCUGGAAGGGGGUUGUGAGAUCACAAGCAACCACAGUACCCCUAUUCUGCACGCACCAGAGAAAAACACCCAGAGAAGUGGCAAAAGUCUUCCAGGCACUCUGGAGACAAUGAUAUGAUGAGACAUUCAUCGUGUAGCAUUCAGUGACCUGUGGCACCAAGAAAAUAGUUUGAUAAAUAAGCACUUCGUUCUUCAUAUUUAUUGUCUUUGGAAAUAGUGAGUACAAUUCAAUUUCACACAUACCUUCAUGCAUUGACUGUGGUCCAACGAAAGCUUCAUACUGGGUGGUUUCAGAUAAAAGUGGAAGAAACCCCACUCAAAACAGUUUAAGCAAAAAUGAAAUUUGUCUGGCUUCUGUAUUAGAGAAGUCCAAGGGCGGAGCCAACCCAAAGAUUCCCUCACUGUGGGCAGCAUUCUGGUUUCCCAUUCCCCAAGGCUUGCCCUCUCUCUCCAUGUCUGUCUCUCUCUGUCUCUCUGUCUCUCUCUGUAUGUCUCUGGCUCUAUCUUUUUCUGUCUCUGUCUCUAUUUCUGUCUUUCUGUGUGUCUGUCUCUAUU
This 1809-nucleotide long non-coding RNA is filed under the name Homo sapiens (human). Its description in RNAcentral is "HSALNT0000886". Lineage: Eukaryota; Metazoa; Chordata; Mammalia; Primates; Hominidae. The record is from RNAcentral.